UUUCACCACCGUUCGUCCUUCUAUCUACCUAAACAAGCAGUUGAUCGGUCCAUCAUUUUUAUAUGAACCUGCAAUCGCUCUUUAGGUGAAGAUGGUGGACCAUAGCGACGCAGACGUUCGGAACAGGUUCUGGUUAUUGGGGUUGGAGUAUGACGGCUUGGGAGUCACGGAAGUGUGGGGGAGAAGAAACAUUUGGAUUAGACAAGCCGACCGAUUAUAGAGGUUGUGUUAUGGCAGUAUAAAGAUAACAAACAGUUUUAGGCGGGGUGUUUGGAUGCACGAUUAAACCGAUAAUAGAUGUAUGGAGUUGCAAUUAUCAGUCUUGAGUAUCAGGUUUUAUGCUAUCUUGCUUGAUUUUAUCGUAGCGUCUUUCAGAUGAGGUUAACUUCAGAUGUAUGAUCGUUAAGGGGCCGCCGGUGAUGGUAUCCGAUACGAUUUCACCGGCGAUUGAAGGGCAACUAACAGGGAUAAAGAUAAGAGACUAUGGUCGUACACCGUUGACCCGUUUGUUGUGUGCUUCUCCAGCUUAGGACUAUCUUGAUGACAUACAAGCACAAAACACAUUCUGUUGUUUCUGAUGGAAAGACCAUAUCCAAAACGCUGAUAUUGAUUUCUACAUUAUCUGACACUGCACUUGUUUCGCAAGAAUACCCGUGUACACUGCUUGCAUU
Molecule: long non-coding RNA, 671 nt
Filed under: Helianthus annuus (common sunflower)
Lineage: Eukaryota; Viridiplantae; Streptophyta; Magnoliopsida; Asterales; Asteraceae
Source: RNAcentral